UUUUAUAUUUCUCUUACACAGCUAAGAAAUCAAGGGCAAAUUAGUUUUCAUUCUUUUUUGUGUUUUGUAAUUCAGGAAGAUAGAUAGCUAUCUUCCUGAAUUACAAAACAUAUAAAAGAACUAUUAUUCUAGAAUACAGUAAGGCUUUAUAUAUAUUAUGCACACACAAUAUUCUAGACUAAUAGUCCACAAUAGUAGUAUUAUAAGGGCACAUUGUUUUGGACUAUUACUAUGGUAUAUUUUAAUGGAAGUUAGCGAAUGUAAAUAACAUACAUGAUUGGGGCCUAACGUUUUGAAUACCACCAUGGACCAUAUUCAGCUGUCCAGUAAAGCAGAUGCACUUCCUGCUGAUGUCAAAAGAACCAGAGCCUGAAGAAACACUACAUGUGUGGAAGAGCACCACAAAAUGAAAAUUGAAAUACACAUGCUGUGAAUGAAAAUGCAUAAUUUCAAGUAUAGGCAGGCCCGAUUUCUGAAAACACAUGCGUAACUAUGGGACUACUCACAUGUGUAAAGUCGCUGCUGUCCCUUCAUCAGCGCUUCUGUCUCAGAUUUCCAAUGCAGCAAAAUUCCUGGUGCUUCUGAACAUUUUGAAUGCCUUGCAGUUGGUAUGACAAAAAUGUGCAUUUGAAAGGAUAUAAAGAGAUGAGUGACUGUUUAAAAUGGGGCAUUAGCAUGACAGUUGACAAAGGCAUGGUAUAUUGUUGGAUCCCACUGGUUUCUAAUGCUCGUUAAUGAGAACAAGUAUUCCUUGAUCAGAGUCACAGAUAGUUGCCUCAAAUAUUCUUCACAUAGACAUUGGAUGUAUUUCACAUUUUGAAAACAUUGUAUAUAUGUUCAUAUAGUUUUUGCUUCAGAACAUUUUUGGUUGUUUUCUUUGGUGAUUGACAAGUGACCUGAACCUUUUCCUGUACUUUUGUUAUGUUUACUUGAUUUCCCCAGCCUCCCUUCCCUGUAGGUGCAGUAAUAAUGCUCUGGCAUGCAUGUGCAAUCCUGUACAGCCUGAGAUCUCCAAUAAAGAGCCUGACCUUGAGUAGAGCUGAGCAUCAGCAAUGCCAUUUAGGUCAAAUUACUUUAUCUGGGCUCUGAGCAAACUUAGCUGCUCCGGGAAGCUCUCAGCAACUUGAAAGAUUAGGUUCUAUGUGCAGUCUCUUGGCCAAAAUUGCAGAUUUUAGCCAUAAUCCCUGACCAAAUCUCACUGAUAUGGGCCCAACUCUCCCACACAAUUGUACAGAUUUUGAGGCAAAAUCUGCACAGAUGUUGUCAAUGGUCCCAGCUGAUUUCUAUUACCCCAGAUCAUAUGCAGAUACUUUGAGAGAAAGAUAGCACAGGAAAAUCUUGCCAAAUUACAGUAAGUGUAGCAUAAUACUAGGUCCUGUUUACACAAUAGCUAUGUCUUUGCUAGUAUUUGUCUUCAAACUUCUCACCAUACACUACCACUGGUAGAAGACAACCAGUAGUGUUAACAGUAGGAGCUCUAGUAUAGACAAACAGUAGGAACAAUAGUGUAGAUUGGCUGCUGGCAUUAAAACUCUAGAGGCCACCAGAAAUUUGUCUACACUUAUCUGUUCUCCAUAUUGCUAUCAGCAGUGGCAUCAGCAUGAGAACAGGGCUGGGAAAUUUGCAGGGAAAUGUUAGUGUAAACAUGGUUGCAGUGGUGCAAGCA
Mauremys reevesii (Reeves's turtle) is the source of this 1666-nucleotide long non-coding RNA. RefSeq lists it as uncharacterized. The transcript has 5 exons. NCBI's taxonomy places the organism in Eukaryota, Metazoa, Chordata, Testudines, Geoemydidae. The record is from RefSeq and is a predicted model, not a curated record.